RNAcentral lists this long non-coding RNA (1111 nucleotides) under Parus major (Great Tit). Its description in RNAcentral is "lncRNA (ENSPMJG00000009500.1)". Lineage: Eukaryota; Metazoa; Chordata; Aves; Passeriformes; Paridae. The record is from RNAcentral.
UUCCCACAGAAACACCCCGGAUGUUAUGUGGAAGGCAGUGCCGUGUUGUUAAAGUGUCAAGCUACAAGUUAUAGGAAUACUCACAGGAAAAGCAUUCCUGAAAGAGCUCUACCCUGGCUGCCUCAUUUCUCAGACUGUCAUUUCUAUGUUCUGAACAUAUCCAGUGGUACCAAUUAAAUGCUUACAGAUUAUUAAUUAAUGAAGCAGCCUGUGAGGAUUUGUGCUGCAAGGCUCCCUCAGCACUAAGAUGGCUGUUCCAGACUCCCUGGCUCCUCUGAGAUUUUCGUUCAAAAAAAAAAAACCUUUCAUGUAAAAGCUGAGAUGGGUUUAGAAUUUGCUAUAUAGUUCAAAAUAGCAGUGAUAAAUAAAUGAAAAUAUUUUAAGAUGUGGAUAACUGUAGAAUUGACAUUUGCAGGAGGAAGGAAAAGCCAGGGGGAAGUCUGGUGUUGGGGGAGAACCACCCUCACGUGUCACAGAUGAGUGUUCCACAGGCUGCAGCCAAGUGCUCCUGCCUCACGUGUGUGACCACAGGAGCAGCCAGCUUCCAUGUGACUGGGGAGGAAUGUUGAGCACAGCUUUCAGUGUGCUUUAAUGCAUGCCUGCAAAGUAAAUUUCUACAGCUGUUGUAUAGUCGAGUGGAUUUCUUUUAUGAAGUGCUUGUAAGAUGUCAUUUAACAGGGUUGAUAUUGAAAAACAGCUCAUGCUUUUUGUCUUCUUUAAAAUCAGCAGGAGUUUUGGAGCAGUGAUGCAGAGAAUUUGCAGGGAAGCCCAGGACAUCUUUCAGCUAAUGGGACCCAUACAUGAAAUGUAGUCCAGAAAUGGCUCCAAAGAACUUUCAGCAUCAAUCAACAAGAUAGAUGAAGAGAGAAGCAGAACUACUUGCCCACAUAUGAAGUCAAGAGGUGAGUGACAGAAAAGAGAAAAAAAAGUUUCAGAUUUGUAUGAUUAAUAUGCAGUAUUUAAAAUCUAACUGGAUUGCUUUAUGAUGAUCAAAUAAGUAGCAGAGGUAGGAAGCUGAAUAUUAUGAACUUUACAUAACAGCCACCUCUCAUCACUCUUUUAAAACAUGAACCAAUUUGUUUCCAGCACAUCCCUGGAUGAAUAAGUGCAC